GCCGGAGUGGCGGAAUGGCAGACGCGGAGGCCUCAAAAGCCUUUGAGGGCAACCUCGUGUGGGUUCAACUCCCACCUCCGGCA
This 83-nucleotide transfer RNA is filed under the name bacterium. RNAcentral describes it as "tRNA-Leu". It matches the Rfam family "tRNA". Rfam says of the family: Transfer RNA (tRNA) molecules are approximately 80 nucleotides in length. Their secondary structure includes four short double-helical elements and three loops (D, anti-codon, and T loops). The record is from RNAcentral. RNAcentral also lists the same sequence under 1 other name.